This 265-nucleotide ribosomal RNA is filed under the name uncultured bacterium. RNAcentral describes it as "partial 16S ribosomal RNA". It matches the Rfam family "Bacterial small subunit ribosomal RNA", at positions 1235 to 1500 of the family's 1533-position model. The record is from RNAcentral.
UUUAACAAAGAGAAGCAAAGCCGCGAGGUAGAGCAAAUCUCAAAAAAACAUCUCAGUUCAGACUGCAGGCUGCAACUCGCCUGCACGAAGUCGGAAUUGCUAGUAAUCGUAGGUCAGCAUACUACGGUGAAUACGUUCCCGGGCCUUGUACACACCGCCCGUCAAACCAUGAGAGUUGGCAACACCCGAAGUCGGUAGUCUAACCGCAAGGAGGACGCCGCCGAAGGUGGGGUUGAUGAUUAGGGUUAAGUCGUAACAAGGUAGC